ACAGAAUGGCAUGUGAGUGGUACUUCAAGGCUAGGCAGCAGCUUACUGUGCAAACAAGGUCAUUUGAUCAGCAAUGAGGUUCACUGUAAGUGUCUAAUCUCCAAAUCUUCCUUCCAGGUCAUUUGAUCAGCAAUGAGGUUCACUGUAAGUGUCUAAUCUCCAAAUCAAUUGACCACAUGGUAGAUUUUUGUCAGAAUCAGGAAUUUUCGGUGGUGAAGGAGAAAGGCACGAGGAGCCCACAGAGUUAUCAGAAUGGCGCUUAGAGAUAAAAUGCUCGACUGAGAAACCUGAUGUGGAAUAAACGCAAGCCCUAUUGGAAAGAUGGUUCAUGAUUAACAGAUUUGAUGGCCGUGAGCCAGGACUAGUGGAUCCUGCUAUAUAACCCUAGGAGUCAGAAGGAUUCGGGGAAAGGAUGAUGCUUUGACAUCAAGACCAGCUGUUGCUACAGAUUGAGUUCCCAGAAAGGAGCAAGGAUCACCCUGCCGUCUCCUCUUUCUCUGAACCCACAUGUCUCAUGAGGUCUUCUCAACUCUUGAAGUCAGCUGUCACAGACUGUAUAUAUCUCACAGAUUUACAUCUUCAGGACAGACACACAUCAUAACUGUGUAUCAGUUAUAACUACCUAGCUUUCCCACAAGCACUUGAAAGUGUAUAUGUUGGAAACAGAAGUUAAAAUCACCUCUCAAAUACAUUUCUCAUCUAUUCUGCUGAUCGAAAUGUCACCUUUAGAAGGGAGUCAGACUUCAGGAUUAAUACGCUUGCGAAAAUAAGUAGAAGAAACCCAUUUCUAGUAGCAGUCUACAAAUCUACGCCUCAUUCGCUGCUGAUUUUCAUAGGAAAAGAAGUUUUGACAAAUAUAUUCAAAAGAAACAAAAUGUACUAAAUAAGCCAAAAGAAUCAACGUGCUUAAUAAAGCCGUAAAGCAUCAUAUAAAUAACAGGUAUUAUAAUACUGGCACUCUGACUGAGAAAGCAAACCACAAAACGGGCAUUUGAAGAAAAAAUAUGCACAAUGAGAGAAGAAAGACUUCCUGGGAGGAAGAGGGAGGAAAUGGAGACACAGAACAUCAAGAGCUAUGCCCUUCAUCAUCACCGGAAAAACAACAUUUCCAUGAAAAAAGAGUAAGUAGUUUAACAUCGCAACAUGACAGUAUUCCAAAAGAAAGAAAGGCUAUGAAAAACAGAUCUGUGAAUAAUAAAGGAAGAGAACCGGGCAAAGGAGCAGAGAGAGGAUAAAGAAGGAAAAACAGAGUCCGAGGAUGCCUCUUCUAACAAUAUGAUUUGAAUUU
This is a long non-coding RNA of Mus musculus (house mouse), 1288 nucleotides long. RefSeq annotates it as predicted gene, 41239. The record is from RefSeq and is a predicted model, not a curated record. The transcript has 3 exons. NCBI's taxonomy places the organism in Eukaryota, Metazoa, Chordata, Mammalia, Rodentia, Muridae.